RNAcentral lists this non-coding RNA (1446 nucleotides) under Pan troglodytes (chimpanzee). Lineage: Eukaryota; Metazoa; Chordata; Mammalia; Primates; Hominidae. The record is from RNAcentral.
UGUAGCUGGAGGACAGGAAAUAGAUCUUUAUUAUGUCAGUUUAAGCCCUGUGCCAUCCCACCCUGGUAUCAUAUCUGUGCAGCAGGCUCCCCUGCACACCCUGAGGCUGUGGCGGGUAGGGGUGGGGUGAGGCCCGGCUAGCCUCCUCUCACCCCUGCUCCAGCCCACCACAGUCAUGUCAGCAAUGCCUGGCGCAGCAUCUGCUUCUUCUGGGGUGUGAGGCGGGUGGGGAACUGGAUGUCGAAGAAGAUGAAGAGAUCCCCUUUCUUAGUGGGGUCCUCCGGCAAUGGCAUCCCCUCCCCUGGCACCUUCUUGAAGUAUUUGGGGUGGACGAUGUCAUUGAUGGGGAUGUUGAGCAGACGGUCAUCUAGGGUCCUCACCUCCACAGUGCAGCAGGUGAGAGCCUUGCCAAGAGGGAUGGGGUUCACGAAGAAGAGGUUGUCAUUCUCCCUGCGGAAGCGAGGGUGUAGCUUCUCCUUUACGAUGAAAAUGAUGUCUGCUGGGAUGAUGUUGGGGCCCUGGUCCCCUUCCUUCUCAAAGGUGAUGCGUGUGCCCUGCCUCCAACCGGGCUUCACAUCAAUGGUCAGGAUCUUGUCCUUGAUGGUGGAGGAGUACCCAUCCUCGUUCAGCACCCUUCUGGAGAUCUUAAUUUUUUUGGUGCAGCCAAAGAAUAAGUCCUCCAGGGACAGGUAGAGAUCCCGUUCGACUUGGGGGUCCUGCUUCUUGACCCCUCGGCCCUGGAGCCCCCCAAAGUUCAAAUCUACCUCACUUCCUUCUGCAUCAAAAAACUCUGCAGGAGGAAAGGGAGGCACUCCCUCUGGUGGCCGCACUCCCGAGCGCGGAAGUCCACCGCGCUCUUCUGGUGGAAGACCACCAGAAGAGACUGCUGGUAGUCCUCGGCAGGAAGUGCAAAGACAGCCCCAUCCUGGCUCUGCCCCUGAUGUGCUGUGUGAUCCGUGGGCUUCAGUGUCUUGGUCUGUGGGAUGGGGUAAUAAUGCCUGACCUGCCUUCCACCAUUAAGAUGAAGAGCUAAAACUUGCUGAGAGCUUACUAUGCGUCAGGUGCUAUUUUUGGAACCUUACAUUAUUAUUUCAUUGGUCCAGGGAGCCCAAACAAAAUGCUUAAGGUCCCGUAGCUAGUAAGCAGUAGAGUUGGGAUCUGAACCACAGGACAAUAUGACUACGGAACCUGUGUCCUUAACCACUGUGCCACACCGCAUCGCUAGAUGUGGAAGCCCCUCAUAAGCUGUAAACUCGAGGGGCGCUAUGGUUAAGAGUUUCCAUAUUCUGCCUCUCAUGGUUAAUGCCAUGGAAUGAACUUCACAGGCUAGAAUGGUGAAAUGACCUUAGGCAGGGAUGGUGAGGUGACUACACUAUGUCCCUCUAAGAUGUGAUGGGCAAUCAAGAGGCCUGAAUCUUCUGGUCCUCCUGUUGCAUUGCUGAAUUC